RNAcentral lists this long non-coding RNA (1238 nucleotides) under Anas platyrhynchos (mallard). RNAcentral's name for it is "lncRNA (ENSAPLG00020014526.1)". The record is from RNAcentral. Lineage: Eukaryota; Metazoa; Chordata; Aves; Anseriformes; Anatidae.
UUCUCUCCCUGCUUUUGCCCCCCCGCCCUUCCUUUGAUUCGCUUUCUCGACUCGCCAAUCGCUCGCGGGAAGGGGGUAGGGGGUGGGGUCUUUCCACCGCCCCCCAAUCUCCUCUCCCUUUUCCCUUGAACGACGUACUUGCGGGCCAUCGCGCCGCCUCCUCUCCCAGCCGCUGGGGUGGGCAGGCCGAGGCUGCGACCAUUGGGGGCGGGCGGAUCGAGGCUACGACCAAUGGGAGCAGGGGGGCGGUGCUGAGGGAGGAGGGUGGUCGCGCAGCCAGCCGGGGAGUAGGAGUCCCUGUUAAUCAGAACCUCAAUCUCCAUGAGCCUGAACCACUACAAUCCUUGCUUUGGUCAUAUUUUCAGUUUCAGCAAGAACCAAUGUGAUAAAGCAUGAAUUACCCAGAAAUAAUGUAGCCUGAAGUAUCCCAAAUGAACCAUGCUGUUUUGCAGGUAGGAAACAUCAGUUAAGUGAGGCUGUAUGUUUUGAAUAGAAGUGAGGAGUGUGCCUGCUCAGGACAGGGAUGCACAUGAGCUGCCUUGAAAGCUCUGAUCGAGUAGCCUGAAGGUAGCCUUAGUGCUUCGCUAGAGCAAGGUAUUUUCAGCUGACUAAACUAACUCAUGUAGUUAAGUGUGCUGAGGUUUUGAAGUAAGGUAACUUUCUGGAAUUCACAUACCUGGAACAGGGGAAUAAGCUCAUCGCCAAACUUGAGUGAAUUUCAUAUCUGUGUUCCCAGUGGCACAAAAAGUGGUAGUUAUUUAAAUUGUAACAAGAUGAAAGAAAGGCUUGCCAAAUGGUUGGCUGCUGAAAGACUUCUGUCAACACUCAUAAUGAUUAAAUGGUACUCCAAACACAGUUCUGCUUGUUAAGUUAAUUUGGAGAUGGGCAGCAUGUGCAAAUCUGGGUAUGCAAUUUGUCGGUCACUUGUGGAAAACUUUAGCAAAUGAUUAAAACCAGCUCAGCCCAGGUGCAAAGCUAGAUUCAAGUAAGUUAAUGUUUUGUAAUUUCUGAAGUAAACUUUAGCCAGGAAAGAUGUGAGGGAAAAACUAGGUGUCUGUAGCUAACUGCUGGAGUGACUGUAGAAAGUUUGUCCUUUAAUUUCAUUGACAUAGUAACAAAUGCGCAGACUAGUACUGAACUGUUACCUGAUUUGUUUUGAGAUGCCAUGUCCUAUGGCAUUUGAUAGUGAAAGGUCCUAAGCAAGGUAUGUGUCUCGUGAAACCUCAGUGCUAAUGUCU